AUUGAACGCUGGCGGCAUGCUUUACACAUGCAAGUCGAACGGCAGCACGGGUGCUUGCACCUGGUGGCGAGUGGCGAACGGGUGAGUAAUGCAUCGGAACGUGCCUAUUAGUGGGGGAUAACGCUUCGAAAGGAGUGCUAAUACCGCAUAAUCUCUGAGGAGGAAAGCAGGGGGACCUUCGGGCCUUGCGCUGAUAGAGCGGCCGAUGUCGGAUUAGCUAGUUGGUGAGGUAAAGGCUCACCAAGGCGACGAUCCGUAGCGGGUCUGAGAGGAUGAUCCGCCACACUGGGACUGAGACACGGCCCAGACUCCUACGGGAGGCAGCAGUGGGGAAUUUUGGACAAUGGGCGCAAGCCUGAUCCAGCCAUGCCGCGUGAGUGAAGAAGGCCUU
This 391-nucleotide ribosomal RNA is filed under the name uncultured bacterium. RNAcentral describes it as "bacterial SSU rRNA". It matches the Rfam family "Bacterial small subunit ribosomal RNA", at positions 30 to 418 of the family's 1533-position model. The record is from RNAcentral.